Molecule: unclassified non-coding RNA, 222 nt
Filed under: Hevea brasiliensis (rubber tree)
Lineage: Eukaryota; Viridiplantae; Streptophyta; Magnoliopsida; Malpighiales; Euphorbiaceae
Source: RNAcentral
GGAGAACACAGGUCAGGGUGGGGAGGGGGCACGGUGGGCAGGGGUGACCAGUCUCCCCAACUCCUCAUGUUAUGCUAAUAGGAGCACAGACACAUUCAGAUGCAGCUGCAGAAAGAGGUGUCCGGUGAUCUGAAGUCACAUAGCGGGAUGCAGCAUCAGUCAGUCCCCACAAGGCAGCUGUCUCAAACUUUAGGAACCGUGAGAGACACAUCAGAGCCCUGG